UUUGUUAAUUCACUAUCAUGGUGUUAUAAGUUGAGAAGAUUUAACUUUUUACAUACAUCAUAACCAACAAUGGAUCAUCAGAAUCUUAGGAAAUGUCUGGUUUUAUUUUGGAGUUUAAGCAUGUAAUGAAUCUCUCAGGGAAAAAAAGGAAGGAAUAUGAAAAUUGUGCUAAAUUUUGACUUCUAUUGUUUGCUUCUUCACGGUUAGUAUCUGGCAUGCCUUGGCCUGAGGGUUAUUGACACUUCGUUUAUAUAUGAAUUUAGAUCUGUCUCAAGGAAUUUUUCCCAUAACUCUUGCAGAUUUUUUGAUCCAUCUUCUCCUUCAAAAUAUGUCUCUUAGUUUUUAAUUUAAAAAAUUAAGAAUCUUUUAUAUCUCUUAUUUAAAAGAUGUAUUUUAGUUUUUUUUUUAGUUAAAAAUUAAGAGAUUGUAUCUUAUAUUACGAUAAAAACUCUAUCAUAAGAGACAUGCAUUAAUCAUGCUCUUAAAAACAUUAUUAUCCCUGGUUCUUAUGGGUGUUUCUUAGGGUAAUUAGUAAUUAAAAAAAAUUAAGAUAAGAAACGAUUCUUAAUUAGGGGAAGGAAGAGACGUCUCUUGUUGGACACGUGUUGAUAGGAAAAGAAAAUGGUGCUUUCCUCGACGAAGGAAACUCGCCUUCUUCCUCGUCGGACCACUGAAGCUCAUCAUCGGUUUCCUCUUCUUCUAUGUCGCUAACGAAGUCAAUUUUGCAACUAGGUUCGUCCUUGAUUUCCGCAAAAGUGAGGAGGAGGCGUCCGUCUUGGCGCUUGGCGGAGAAGUUGUUGUGCGACGGCACAGAGACAGCCUCGAGAACCAGUCGGCUGUUUUCAUCUCAAUCUCUCUCGCAUCGAAGAGAAACAAAGUGUUACUUGCAGACUUCUGGUUCUCAGGAGCUGACCAUGGCGAGUUAUUAUCUCGCUCCUUUUUCAGUUGGAGUGAGUGGUUCUUGGUAUCUCAUGGGUUGAUUACAACUUCCCAGCACUAGAGUCUCUUCGAGUUCUAGUGGUUGUGAUCUUUCGGCUCUUCUUCAGGCUCGGUCUAGUAAUGUGUGGUAGUGCAGUGGUCUAUCAGCUCCGUGUUGUGUUCAGGUUCGAUGGCGGCAGUAGUGAGUUCUUUGCUCAGUUGGGAGGCGAUUUCAAGUGUUGUGUGGCGCUGUGUACAAGCCCGGCUUUGGUGUGAUUGCAAGGCUUAGAGGUACGUAUCCGAAUCCUCCCCUGUUGGUUGUCUUGCGCUUCAUAAACAGUGAUGGUUACAAGCUCGGUGGAGAUCAUCGGAAACCAGCUACUCCGGAAACGACACGAGAAUUCCCGGCAUCCGAGGCAACAAGGAGAACCUCACCUUCUCGUGUUUUUCGUGGAUGGUUGAGAACGGCAACCGAUUCUAAAGGAUUUCGAAAAACGGACUAGCGGGCGGGCGAAGCUAGUUUGUAAUAGUUUGAUUUUGGAAAUUUUGUUCAAAACCAGUUUGUAACUGGAUCCGAAUCCCCGAUUUCGGGUAGAAUUAAUAUAUAAUAUAUAAUUAAAAAAAAAGUGUUACUUGCAGCAGUUUGUGUUGUGUAAUAAGAUAGAUUUGUUGUCAGCUUUGAUACUUUUAUGCCUUUUGAUAUCGAAAAAGGAUUCAAGGGUCAUUAAAGAUGUUGUCUUUACUUGUUUCA
Brassica napus (rape) is the source of this 1669-nucleotide long non-coding RNA. RefSeq lists it as uncharacterized. The record is from RefSeq and is a predicted model, not a curated record. The transcript is spliced from 2 exons. Lineage: Eukaryota; Viridiplantae; Streptophyta; Magnoliopsida; Brassicales; Brassicaceae.